UACGUAGGGGGCAAGCGUUAUCCGGAUUUACUGGGUGUAAAGGGAGCGUAGACGGCAAUGCAAGUCUGGAGUGAAAGGCGGGGGCCCAACCCCCGGACUGCUCUGGAAACUGUAUAGCUGGAGUGCAGGAGAGGUAAGUGGAAUUCCUAGUGUAGCGGUGAAAUGCGUAGAUAUUAGGAGGAACACCAGUGGCGAAGGCGGCUUACUGGACUGUAACUGACGUUGAGGCUCGAAAGCGUGGGGAGCGAACAGG
This 253-nucleotide ribosomal RNA is filed under the name uncultured bacterium. RNAcentral's name for it is "partial 16S ribosomal RNA". It matches the Rfam family "Bacterial small subunit ribosomal RNA", at positions 524 to 776 of the family's 1533-position model. The record is from RNAcentral.